CCCUACGGGGCGCACCAGGCUUGGCAUAUAGAAUGACACUCUGUAUUUCAGAAUCGACUUGUGCCGCCGAAACUAAUCCCCAUUGAAGAUUCACAAGUAGCAAUGAUGCAAUUGCUAGAACUCGUAUGAAUGCACUUUUCUUAAGCCUGAAAACCCCUUUCUUCCAAAAAAAACUAAGAACAGAAACAUUUAGUACUUGUCUCAAGACUUUAUUCAGUAUAAACCAUGUUAUGAAAAUUAAAAAAAACUCUCUCUGUGAAUAAGCGCGGUUUAUCCACCUGGCGGAGGAGAAAAUCCUGCGCCGAUAGUCUUUUGUCGUAAAGGAAUUGGCGGGAGGGC
This 339-nucleotide ribosomal RNA is filed under the name uncultured prokaryote. Its description in RNAcentral is "partial 16S ribosomal RNA". The record is from RNAcentral.